Molecule: small nuclear RNA, 89 nt
Gene: U2
Rfam family: U2 spliceosomal RNA
About the family: U2 is a small nuclear RNA (snRNA) component of the spliceosome (involved in pre-mRNA splicing). Complementary binding between U2 snRNA (in an area lying towards the 5' end but 3' to hairpin I) and the branchpoint sequence (BPS) of the intron results the bulging out of an unpaired adenosine, on the BPS, which initiates a nucleophilic attack at the intronic 5' splice site, thus starting the first of two transesterification reactions that mediate splicing.
Source: Ensembl
AUCACUUCUCGGCCUUUUGGCUAAGAUCAAGUGUAGUAUCUGAUGUUUGCACACUAUUAAGACUUAUUUAGGUGUCCUGCACACCCAUC